CCAGUUCUGACAUGGUGAAUUGCGGUUC
This 28-nucleotide small RNA is filed under the name Bombyx mori (domestic silkworm). Its description in RNAcentral is "ovarian small RNA-13579". The record is from RNAcentral. Lineage: Eukaryota; Metazoa; Arthropoda; Insecta; Lepidoptera; Bombycidae.